Molecule: long non-coding RNA, 610 nt
Organism: Passer domesticus (house sparrow)
Lineage: Eukaryota; Metazoa; Chordata; Aves; Passeriformes; Passeridae
Exons: 4
Source: RefSeq, a predicted model, not a curated record
CACAACAGUGCCACGCUCUCAGAACAGGCUCAAAAACAGGCAGCAUUAUUCAGAGAGCAAAAUUAUGUCAAUUGCAAAGAUUGCCACGGCUGCUACGUAUCCUUUUAGCUAUUAUUUACACAAGCACUCAUUAUACAGCUGGUAAUUAAAGUUUUGGAAAAUAUUCUGGUCUUGCAGUAAUGGCAGAAGCAGUCUGGCUGGUAGGAACUGUAUCAUAAAGGUAGCAGCUCCUUCUAUUACACGCAGCAUUUCCCAUUUGAUGGCUAAAACAUUCUGCAGGGGACAAGAUCUAUGGAGUCUGCAAAUAUAGGUCUUGAAAACCUCCAAGGACAGUGCACAACCUCUCUGGGCAGCCUGAUCCACCUGGUGUGACUGUCCUCAGGAUGCAGAAACUCAGCCAACCACUUGUGAGUACCUGAGAUUAGAGGUGGCACCAGCAUUUAAAAAGACAUGUGUUAUACCAGGUUUGCUACAGAAUUACCCGAAACCCACUUCAACUGAUGUGAGGAACUUCCAGCACCUGUCACUUCAACAGUGUGUCUUCUGUCUUCUAAAACAGUUCACUAACAGGAGCCGCAAGAUCUAACGCCACUCAGACAACUCCCUUUGG